This 253-nucleotide ribosomal RNA is filed under the name uncultured bacterium. Its description in RNAcentral is "partial 16S ribosomal RNA". It matches the Rfam family "Bacterial small subunit ribosomal RNA", at positions 524 to 776 of the family's 1533-position model. The record is from RNAcentral.
AACGUAGGACGCAAGCGUUAUCCGGAUUUACUGGGCGUAAAGCGCGGGCAGGCGGUCUUGCCAGUCUGAUGUGAAAUCUCCCCGCUCAACGGGGAGCAGCCAUUGGAAACUACAAGACUGGAGUCUGACAGAGGUAGGCGGAAUUCCGGGUGGAGUGGUGAAAUGCGUAGAGAUCCGGAGGAACACCAGAGGCGAAGGCGGCCUACUGGGUCAGUACUGACGCUGAGCCGCGAAAGCCAGGGGAGCGAACGGG